This 566-nucleotide long non-coding RNA is filed under the name Homo sapiens (human). Its description in RNAcentral is "HSALNT0400614". The record is from RNAcentral. Lineage: Eukaryota; Metazoa; Chordata; Mammalia; Primates; Hominidae.
GCCUGGGUACCGGAGGGAGGGAGGCGGGCAGAGGAGGGGAGAUGGGCACCCCCAGUUUUUCCAUCCUCCUCAUUCGUCUAGGGGCACCCGAAUCCCCUAUUCCUUAUUUCCCCUAUCACUCAGGCACUGGCAGGGUCCUUUUCCCACUCCUGUUGGCCGCCGCGGCUCCAAAGCGAGAUGUGCCUGAGACAGGUUUGACCAGGCAACUGAAAAUAUAUCCCUAAGAGAAGACAAAACAAAGAUAUGAAAGGAACACACUUCCCUGACUGACUAGGAGGAACAGAGCUGCCUGCUGACUGGAACCGCUUCCUCCCAGACUAAGGUUUCCCAGAGGAAGAGAGAGAAUUUGGACAAAUGAAUGAGGAACAACGCUCUCCUGAGGGUUUUCUUUAAGGGGCAAGGAUCAAUGCCUCUAGAUCCUUUGAAAGCAGAGUUAAGAGGCAGUGCAGGAAGGCACAGCAGGAAGGUUCAUGGUUAGACUACAGAGAAGGAAGCAGCCACUGCUGGGGACCUACCCUGUGCUGGUCACUGACAAGCUGUCUCAUUAAACCUUCCCGGACCCUCAA